CAUCACAAUUAACAAGAUCUCCAACUAGCACCAACACAUCGUCAACCAUCAUGCAUUCAUUUUCCAGCCAUCACAAUCAACACCUCUAACUAUUAACAUUAAGUAACGUCAAAUCACAAACACCACCACCACUAUCAACUGUCACUAUCAUAAUAGUCACUACAAUCAACCAUCACAACUAUCACCACUAACAUUACCAAUCACAAACAUCAAUCAUUGUCAUCGCAAC
Molecule: long non-coding RNA, 229 nt
Filed under: Capsicum annuum
Lineage: Eukaryota; Viridiplantae; Streptophyta; Magnoliopsida; Solanales; Solanaceae
Description: long non-coding RNA (CANN_LNC009076)
Source: RNAcentral